GACGAACGCUGGCGGCGUGCUUAACACAUGCCAGUCGAACGGAAAGGCCCUGCUUUUGUGGGGUGCUCGAGUGGCGAACGGGUGAGUAACACGUGAGUAACCUGCCCUUGACUUUGGGAUAACUUCAGGAAACUGGGGCUGAUACCGGAUAGGAGCUCCUGCUGCAUGGUGGGGGUUGGAAAGUUUCGGCGGUUGGGGAUGGACUCGCGGCUUAUCAGCUUGUUGGUGGGGUAGUGGCUUACCAAGGCUUUGACGGGUAGCCGGCCUGAGAGGGUGACCGGCCACAUUGGGACUGAGAUACGGCCCAGACUCCUACGGGAGGCAGCAGUGGGGAAUAUUGCACAAUGGGCGGAAGCCUGAUGCAGCAACGCCGCGUGCGGGAUGACGGCCUUCGGGUUGUAAACCGCUUUCGCCUGUGACGAAGCGUGAGUGACGGUAAUGGGUAAAGAAGCACCGGCUAACUACGUG
Molecule: ribosomal RNA, 468 nt
Filed under: uncultured bacterium
Lineage: Bacteria
Description: partial 16S ribosomal RNA
Rfam family: Bacterial small subunit ribosomal RNA
Source: RNAcentral